RNAcentral lists this ribosomal RNA (299 nucleotides) under uncultured Pseudomonadota bacterium. RNAcentral's name for it is "uncultured proteobacterium partial 16S ribosomal RNA". It matches the Rfam family "Bacterial small subunit ribosomal RNA", at positions 29 to 351 of the family's 1533-position model. Lineage: Bacteria; Pseudomonadati; Pseudomonadota. The record is from RNAcentral.
AACGAACGCUGGCGGCAGGCUUAACACAUGCAAGUCGAACGGGCGCAGCAAUGCGUCAGUGGCAGACGGGUGAGUAACGCGUGGGAACGUGCCUUUCGGUUCGGAAUAACUCAGGGAAACUUGAGCUAAUACCGGAUACGCCCUUUGGGGGAAAGAUUUAUUGCCGAAAGAUCGGCCCGCGUCCGAUUAGCUAGUUGGAGAGGUAAAGGCUCACCAAGGCGACGAUCGGGUAGCUGGGUCUGAGAGGAUGAUCAGCCACACUGGGACUGAGACACGGCCCAGACUCCUACGGGAGGCUG